CUGCAGCUUUAAUUAGACAUUCCUUGAUGAAAUCACCUUCGGUGAAAGGUUUCGAGUGUUCUGACAAGACGUAGCUUGCAUGCACUGCCACUUAAUUUUCUUGUGAUACUUUAGUAAACAUGAACUGUUGUUUUUUCAGCCCCAACUUGAGCUCUUUCAAUUUCUCUUGUCUCAUUAAUCCUUCGUAAUUAUCAUAUUUUGAUUUAUG
Molecule: non-coding RNA, 208 nt
Organism: Pelobates cultripes (western spadefoot toad)
Lineage: Eukaryota; Metazoa; Chordata; Amphibia; Anura; Pelobatidae
Source: the annotation of a GenBank genome assembly